CAGAUUGGGAAACUCAUCAAAUUAUAUGAAAUGCCGAGACAAAUUCUUUCUCUAAUGGCGGGCCUCAUUCCGUAAGGAAGUCGAAAGACCGGAGGAUUACAAAAGUGGAGGAAUUCUCAAAUCCUGUUUAUCGGAGUUUCAGCACACUCU
RNAcentral lists this small RNA (150 nucleotides) under human gut metagenome. Its description in RNAcentral is "Bacteroidales-1 6S-Bacteroidales RNA suggested". It matches the Rfam family "Bacteroidales-1 6S-Bacteroidales RNA suggested", at positions 15 to 163 of the family's 179-position model. RNAcentral also lists the same sequence under 1 other name. The record is from RNAcentral.